RNAcentral lists this non-coding RNA (97 nucleotides) under Streptococcus sp. Its description in RNAcentral is "PreQ1-II sequence". It matches the Rfam family "PreQ1-II (pre queuosine) riboswitch aptamer". From Rfam's summary of the family: Q is a hyper modified nucleoside present in some anticodons in tRNAs (Try, Asn, Asp and His). The record is from RNAcentral. Lineage: Bacteria; Bacillati; Bacillota; Bacilli; Lactobacillales; Streptococcaceae. RNAcentral also lists the same sequence under 1 other name.
UAUGGUAAGAUACUUAUUGGUCUAUGACCCCUUGCCACUUAUUCACCUUUGGGCAAGCAUAUUACACUCGCAAAAAGCGAUAAAGGAGAAAUAUAUG